Rhopalosiphum padi (bird cherry-oat aphid) is the source of this 742-nucleotide long non-coding RNA. RefSeq lists it as uncharacterized. The record is from RefSeq and is a predicted model, not a curated record. Lineage: Eukaryota; Metazoa; Arthropoda; Insecta; Hemiptera; Aphididae. The transcript is spliced from 3 exons.
AUUCGUUUUAUCUUCAAGUCAAGUAUAUACGCUGUUCUACUGUAAACCUUUAACAAGUAUAGAUAUAUAACCAUCUAAUAUUAACCAAUUAUUGUAGAUAGAGACGGCCGGAAUUCAGUGUACAACAGUAACGAUAUAGCCAUCUACCGGCAACAUCAUCCAGGCAAGCGAGUCAGAUCGAUGGCCUUCCAGAGCGCACCACACGAAUGGAAUAGAAUUAUCUUGUCGCUACUUAAUUUCACGACAUUAAUACUUUUAUAACCCGAAAUCGUUUUGUUCUACCAAAUACGAUUUACUACAAAACGGUUUUGGCAUAAUACAGGAUGGCGACAUACCUAACGAUUUGGAAUCCACCGUAGACGCAAUUCACAGAAUGAUUACAGGCGUGGAAGACGAUGACAGUGGAUUGGAUGCAAACACUUCAUCCAUAAAUGUGAUCGACAAAAUUUUCCAAAUUAACUUAUUAAGCGAUGUCGUGGACGGUUCAUUGUUAAUAGAAAAGUCGGGGGAAAAUGUUGGUGAUCUGUCAGUUGGUCCUGAUCCGCACGCAGUGGUUACAAACGUAAGUGUCAAUCCGCUUCCCCGUAGAAAGCGUUUCGCAUCUACGUGGAAGCGGAUUAAACGCUCUGUUCUACGUUUGUACUGCUGCGUGCGUUGAGUUUAUUUCUGUUACAUGUUCCAAGCCUUGUAGGCAAGCUUUUUUGAUUUAUCCCGUUUAGCCCAUAUGGCAAAUCUUUUUUAU